Molecule: long non-coding RNA, 326 nt
Organism: Sorghum bicolor (sorghum)
Lineage: Eukaryota; Viridiplantae; Streptophyta; Magnoliopsida; Poales; Poaceae
Exons: 2
Source: RefSeq, a predicted model, not a curated record
UGGUGACACAAAGGCGCAAAGCUUUACAUAAAUUCAGAAUUGUCUUCAUUGCAAGGUACCUUCAGGCUUGCAACAUCAAAGAUCCAAUACAGAACAUCGAGUGGACUUCCCCACAAGCAGGAAGGUGGAGGCGGCCAUGGUUACACAAUAUUGCAUACUGAGUCAAAAAGGCUGAAAAAAUAAAGAUGGUAAAGAGUCCAUGAUUACACAUUGUUUUAGUAAUACAACAACACAUGGACAAACUCUAAUUGUCAUGGUGUUAUAUUUUCUUUUUGGAUCAACACAUGGGCAAACUUUGCCUUUUGAAUUAAUUAAUUUUAUAGUAA